This 68-nucleotide non-coding RNA is filed under the name Microbacterium hydrocarbonoxydans. Lineage: Bacteria; Bacillati; Actinomycetota; Actinomycetes; Micrococcales; Microbacteriaceae. The record is from RNAcentral.
GCACAGGCCGUACACCCCGGCCCCGGACGAGGCGGACCAGUACCCGGUGAGCGCAAAGACUGGCCCGA